Molecule: ribosomal RNA, 433 nt
Filed under: uncultured bacterium
Lineage: Bacteria
Description: partial 16S ribosomal RNA
Rfam family: Bacterial small subunit ribosomal RNA
Source: RNAcentral
AACGAACGCUGGCGGCAUACCUAACACAUGCAAGUCGAACGAGACCUUCGGGUCUAGUGGCGCACGGGUGCGUAACGCGUGGGAACCUGCCGGUAGGUUCGGGAUAACUCCCCGAAAGGGGUGCUAAUACCGGAUAAUGUCUUCGGACCAAAGAUUUAUCGCCCUUGGAUGGGCCGGCGUUGGAUUAGCUUGUUGGUAGGGUAAAAGCCUACCAAGGCGACGAUCCAUAGCUGGUCUGAGAGGAUGAUCAGCCACACUGGGACUGAGACACGGCCCAGACUCCUACGGGAGGCAGCAGUGGGGAAUAUUGGACAAUGGGCGAAAGCCUGAUCCAGCAAUGCCGCGUGAGUGAUGAAGGCCUUAGGGUUGUAAAGCUCUUUUACCCGGGAUGAUAAUGACGGUACCGGGAGAAUAAGCUCCGGCUAACUCCGUG